CAAUUAUUACAUAUUGAGCUACCAAUCUCUUCAUUCGACAUGCCUCAGUAGGACUAGUCGGUAAGAUUAUGUUAGUCUAGAAUUCGAUAAAUGGAUCAAUCCAACUCGGUUCAUGACUGACUUAGACUUGUGAACUUUUUCUUCGAAGUCGAUACUUAGGUUCUCAAGAUGUUCCAUGAAGAUUUUUUCCUACUCACCGCAUCCUGAUGUCACG
This 214-nucleotide long non-coding RNA is filed under the name Elaeis guineensis (African oil palm). RNAcentral describes it as "long non-coding RNA (EGUI_LNC058278)". Lineage: Eukaryota; Viridiplantae; Streptophyta; Magnoliopsida; Arecales; Arecaceae. The record is from RNAcentral.